RNAcentral lists this transfer RNA (72 nucleotides) under Camelus bactrianus (Bactrian camel). It matches the Rfam family "tRNA". Rfam says of the family: Transfer RNA (tRNA) molecules are approximately 80 nucleotides in length. Their secondary structure includes four short double-helical elements and three loops (D, anti-codon, and T loops). RNAcentral also lists the same sequence under 1 other name. Lineage: Eukaryota; Metazoa; Chordata; Mammalia; Artiodactyla; Camelidae. The record is from Rfam by way of RNAcentral.
AAGGGUAUAGCUCAGUGGUAGAGUGCAUGCCUAGCAUGUAUGAGGUCCUGGGUUCAACCCCCAAUGCCUCCA